This 8892-nucleotide long non-coding RNA is filed under the name Vitis vinifera (wine grape). Its description in RNAcentral is "long non-coding RNA (VVIN_LNC003692)". Lineage: Eukaryota; Viridiplantae; Streptophyta; Magnoliopsida; Vitales; Vitaceae. The record is from RNAcentral.
CCCGGAUUUGCAGAGGAUGCCAUUAGGAUCAUUUGUCACAAGCCAACCAAGUCUCCAACCAGGAACAAUCCAUCUCUUUGAUAUAGAUCCAAGUGUAAUAACAGGCGUAAUCGACCCAAAAACUCCCAUUGGCACAUAAGGGUUACUCCCAAAAACAAGGUGCCCAUAUACUUCAUCAGCAAUCACAAGAAUUCCGAGCAUUCUUGCAGUUUCCGCCACCUGCAAAAUCCCUAGCUGGAACAUCAUUUUCCAUUACAAAUUAAUUAUAAAACCAUGUUCCUAGAAGAUAGCUUAGCCUAGCCUACCUUCUUCAGAUGCUGGUGUGUGAAGACAUUGCCACAAGGAUUGCCGGGGUUGAUGAUAACCAUAGCAACAGUGUUCUCAUCUGCAAGAGCUUUGACUCCCUCCAGAUCAACCUCCCAACCCUUCUCGGGCAGAAGAUCGAACCGACGGAAUUCCAGAUGGUUAGCUGCAGCAUGAGCUUCAUAUAACGCAUAACCAGGUCUUGGGAGAAGAAUGUUGGCACCGGGGAGAGCAAGGACCUUUAUUAUGAGUUUAAUUGCUUGUGCACAUCCAAUUGUGAGAUAAACAUCAUCUGGGGAUAGCUUGUAUGGAAGAUCAGCAGAGAGAUAUUCCGCUAUAGCCCUUUUAAUAAAAUGGAAGUAUAAGCCUCAAGCUGAAUUCAUCAAUCUGAAAACUUUGCUAAAGGAAAAUGAUAGUCUUUUCUGGGACUGUCCAGAAAACAUGGAGCAUGUUGCAGCCAAAAACAACUAUUGCUGUUCUUAAAAAAGGAAAAGGAAUAGAACGAAAAGGACAUAGAAAAUAUAUAACAUAUGCUUCAAAAAUGGUUUGAAAUGAUUUCCAUUUCUCCGAUCAAAGUGGAUGCAGCAAGUGAGACCAAUACCCUACCUCCUCGCUGUAAGAACGCCGACGUCGGGGGAAUAGGAGUUGAAUUUCCGGGACCGGACGGCGUCGACAAUGGCCUCUUCGGCCUCCGGAGAGGUCCGGAAGGAGGAAAAGGCAGAUGGGUCACCUUGUCCAAGAGUAAUAACAGGUCUGCGAUCUUGUGGAUUAAGAUUAGAUAUAACUUUGCCCAGAACUCCCCUCACGGUGAUGGAGGAUGCUUUGUGCAACACUUGGUUUCCCCGGAAACCCCAUCUCUCCGCUGCCCCAUUCUCCAUCCUCUUCCUUUCUUCCUCCUCCAGAUUCGAGUUUUACAAUGGUCAGGAUUUCAGUGGAAGAGAGAAUUUUUUGUGGGAAAGGUGAUGGGGUGGAGUGGAGUCGAACCAGUCACGCUGGUAGAGUUUUGUCUCUUUCUUUGUAGUCUGUCUCCUUGCCCUCGUGUCCUUGGCAAAACGAUAGUGGUAACAAUUUGGAAAUGUAAAUUGAUGACGUUGGAGCUUGGAGUAGGUGUGAGACGACUGACGAGAACUUGUGAAGGUUAUUGGGGUUGGUGGCUAAUCCGAAUGAAGACACAAUCUAUUCAAGUUUAACCUAGCUGGAUCCUUCAGUCGAGGUUCUUAAUCCAAGUAUGAUUUCAUCUCAUCUCUUGAAACUCGAGUUAAAUUAAUUGACCAGGUUAAAGUCCGACAGUAUGAUUCAAAAUCCAACUAUAAUAUUUUUAUUAAGAAAAAAUUAUGUUUAUAUGACAUUUAAAACAUUAAACUUAUUGUAAACUUGUUUGGAUAAAUAUUUUAUUUUUAAAUUUUAUUUUAUUUUACUUAUAUUGGUUUUUAUAAUAUUUACUUGUUAUAUACAUAAUUAAAUAUUGAAUUAACAAAAAAAUUUGUUUAAAUGAGAGAGGAACAAUCCAAUAAAUUUGUUUUAAUAAAAAAAAAUAGUUCAUAAAAUAUUUUUCUUAAUAAAAGAGUUUUUUAUUAAUAAAAAUUCAUAAAAAUGUUCUUAGGAAAGUCCCAAAAAAAAUUUUAUAACAAAAUUCAAAAAAUUGUUUUUAGUCAUAAUUGCUUAAAAAUUUAUCUAUUUAAUAAAAAUUGUUCAAAAAAUUAGUUUUUAAAUAAAAUUGCUCAAAGGUUUUUUUUUUUUAAUAAAAUUGUCUAAAUUUAAAAAUAUAUAUAUAUUCUUAAUUAGAAUGGGAUUAAAAGUAAUUUUUGUAGAUAAAGGUUUAAUGAGAAUAGGAUGAAAGUCAUUAGUGCAAAUUGAAGCCCUAGAAAUCAUUUUCUUAAUAAAAUUAUAUUAAAAAUAUUUUUGUAAAGAAAGUUUGUAAAAAAAUUAAUUCCUUUAUAAAUAAAGUUGUAAAAAUUCAUUCUUUUUUCUAGUAAAAGUAAGUAAAAAUCUUUUUAUUGUCAAAUUAAGAUUUUUAUAAUAAUUUUUUUGAUAAAAUGAGUGUAAAUAAAUUUUUUUGAAAAGUGAAUACAAACAAAUUCAAUCAAAUAAUUUAUUGCAAAUAAAUUAAAACUUUUUCUUUGUAAAUAAAUUCAAAAUUAUUUUUUUAAUAAAAUCCUUUGAAAUUUCUUGAAAAACUAAUUUUUGAAAUAUUUUUUUUAAUCAAUAUAAUAAUUCAAUUUAUAUAAUUUUCAUGUUAUUUAUUUUGUCUAUUCUUAUAAUUUGAUUUUUACCAUGAUUUGUAUAUAUUAAUUUGUGUGAUUUUUUUUCUUGUUUAGUAGAUAACAUAUGUACAGGAGCUUAAAGGGAUGUUAUAACUCACUACAAUACCUUCUCGAUAAGUAACUUGACCCUCAAAUUUAGAUUCGAUUUUUUAUAGAUAUGUUUUUUUCUAAAUAUGGAGUCACAUAUGAUUUCAUUUUUUAUUUUGUUUUUUCUUAAAAAUAAUAAAUAAAAUAAGUAGCGAUUUCAGUCUUUUCUAAAACUCAAUUUUUUUCCAUAAAUAAAAAGCGACUAUCAUUGUCGAGCCACAAUAAGUAAUAAUUUUUUUAAUAAUAUUGUUUUUUUUUUUAAAUUACCACUCCUAGGGUGGAGUGGAAGUUGAUGUCUUGUGGGUUGCUGCAUGUGCUUCCACCAUAAGAAUAUUCAUUGCCACUAUCACAUUGCAAUAUGCAGUAUUUUAUUUCACUUAAAAUAUACAGAUAUUAUAAAAUAAAUAAAUAAAUAAAAGCACAAGGAGAGACAAGGGUAGACUAGCAUAUAUUAAUGAAGAAAUUUGAUCACGUGACUUUGAAUCAUUAAUUAAAUAAUAAAGCAUUUAAUAUUAAAACUCACCUAACCUUCUCCCCCAAUCCCCUCUACAACUUUUAAGGAGAAAACAAAGGUGAUCAUUUUCUUCUAUGCACAAUUUAUAAUUAUAUAUAUAUAAUUUUAUAAGAAGAUUUUUUUUUAAUUUUUUAAUUUUUUCAUUUCUUUUAAUUUUUUUAAUAAAUAUGUAAAAUACCUUUAAUUUUAUAAAAAUGAUAUAAUAUUAAAUUUAUUGGAAAAGUUAUUCAUGUUAAAAAUAUUCAAGGAAUUCUUUUCUUUAAUUCCUCUAAUUUUAAUUUUAAUAAUAAUUUAAGGAAAAGUGUAAGCAGAUCACCCUUUUAUAUGAUAUAUUAUUUUAUUUUAUUUUUUCUAUAAUUUUACUUUUUGUCGAUUUUUUUUGGCUUUUUGUUUUCAGCGUUUACCACUGAUAGAAAAAGAGGCUUGCAAGACAAGCAACCAAAUGGACAAAAUCAAAUCAAUUUUCAAUAUUAAUAGAAUCAAAGUUGCCAAAUAUUCAAAGCAAACAAUCUUAUAAGGUAGGAAAUUAAGGUGUCAUUUGACAACUUAUUUGAAUAAGUUAUUUUUUUAAAAUAAAAUUCUGUUUUGAUUUUAUAAAAACAUUAUAAAUUUAAUUUAUAUAAUAUUAAUUCAAAUUUUACUAACAAUGAAAAUAGUUUUGUAUUUGUUGGUCCAAAGGGUUCUCCUAAUCGGGUUUUGAUGAUAACAAAUCAUGGUUAAGUAACUAAUUUGUUUAAUGGUUAAAAAUCUCAAAUAUAAAUUCGAAAAUUCAUCAAAUGACCAAAUGGAUAUAAGAUCGAGACGCUUGGAAGACUUGUGAUCAUAGGAAACUAAUGUAAGAUGAAUGCAUGAGUGCACUUAGGAUUUUCACACGUUUCAUGCAUCUUUGAAAACUCGGUUUAUUCUUUAAAACAUCGAUUUCAUUAAAACCCGAGUUUUUAACUAAUGUACCUUAUGCAAAAUGUUUUAUAAUUGGCUUAAUAAUUUACCUAAAGACUUUGCCUAAGUGUUAAAAAAUAAAGGAAUUAAAAAAAUAGGUUUUCGGGGCAAAAAGGGUUCAACCGGUCGAGGCUAUGGCCAACCGGCGUGCUCGUCCGGUCGAUGACCAGUCGAGGGAGACCAAAAAGUUACUCUCUCUCCCAGUAGCCUUCUCUUCCCGAUCGAGGUCCGGUUAAGGCAACGGUAACUUGUCAUGCAUUAAAUGCUUCAACGGCUAAUGAACAGGUCAACCCCUAGCUCGACCGGACGAGGUUACCUUUUGCUAUUGUUGACUUCCGAGCUUAGAAACUUAUAAAUUGAGAGCUCUACUUCAUUUAUUAAUAAGAGAACACUUGCAUUCAAUAACUUAUCUGUUCUUGAUAAAAAAGCUUUCAUUUCUUUCAUAGUGCAUUAAAUCACCACUUGCAUAUCAUUUAGUGCACUAUUGUGUAUCAUCCUAGCUUUGUCUUAUAUUUAAGCUAUCCUUAAGCUAGGUUGAGGGAUUAUAUCUUGUAAAAAUCUGAGUGUUAAAGCCUUCAAGAGGUUUGAAUCUUGAAGAGGUAGUGUAAGAGCCCAUUGAAACCGGAAUCCAAGUGUAAGAAGAUUGGAAGCUUGGUUCAAACUUCAAGUUAGUGGAACCCUCACUCGGUUAGGAGGUUGAGGAGAGUGGACAUAGGCAAGGAAGUGUCGAACCACUAUAAACCCGAGUUUGAAUUUUUUAAACUCUAUCUCUUUACUUUACUUAUAUUGUAUUUGAAUUUGUUGUGAUUGAAAAUAUUUUAAAAACCCAAUUCACCCCCCCCCCUUUUGGGUGUUUUUCUUAACUAAGCAUAACCUUUGUUUUCUCAGUAUUUAUAAAUAACUUAAAAAAUAAAUAGUAACGUUAUAAUAAAAUCAUAAAUUAUAUUUUUUUAUUAAAAAUUAUUAUUUAGUAUAUGUUUGAAAGAUAAGGAUAUUAAUGUCUAUGUAGUUUUUUUCUAAAAAAAAUUAAUAAUAAAAAAUGGUUAAAAAUAUUUUAUUUAAAAUGAAAAAACAAAUCUAACUUUUAUUAAAGAAUUUAAAUUAUUAAUUAAAUCUUGUUUAAUUUAUAAUCUAUUUACCUAAUGAGAAAUUCAAGAAAUAUAGUUAUGUGUAUAGAAGAAAUAGUAAAGUCUUAAUUCAAAAUAUAGUAGCUUUGAUUUAUAAUUUUUCUUAGUGAUUAGAUCUAUUUUUUUAAUUUCAAAUUAUAACUAUUUAAUAAUAAAAAAAUCAUUAAUAAAUUCGAUACAAAGUUUCAUUUGAUCAUUUGAAGUUCAUUUUUCUUGUGAAAAUUUUUAUAAAAAUAUAAUAUAUAUGUGUAAAAAAAUAAUAGUCACUAUAAACCAAAUUUUAUCCAUAAAUUUUUAUAUUAAUUAAUUUAUAAUUUUAGUUUAAAAUACUUUUAAAAAUUAAUAGAGUCUUUGAAUGAAUUCAAGGCAUUAAUCUUGUUUAAUUUGGAGUUUAUUUGUCUAGUGAAAAAAUAAUAAUAAUAAUGAUUCUAUCUAUAAGAAAAGCAAAAGAUUCGUUCUAAAUAAUUUUUGUUUAUAAAUUUCUUGUAUUAAUUGAAUCACUAUUUGGGUUUCAAUUUUUUUUUAAAAUCCCUAGACUCGUUAAUGAAUCCAAUACAUUAAGUCUUUCUUAAUUUGAAAUUCAUUUGUCUAGUGGGAAAAAAAUGUAAUGAGUCUAUGUAGAAAAAAAACAAAAAUCAUUCUACAUUAAGUUUUAUUCAUAAAUUUUUAGUAUUAACUGGAUCACUAUUUGAAUUUUAAGUUAUUUUUUAAAAUUUUCUAGACUUAUUAAUGAAUUCAACAUAUUAAGUCUUGGUUAAUUUAAAGUUUAUUUGUCUAGUGAAAAAUUUUAUAAAUAAAUAAAUACUUUUGAAAUAAAUUUUGGUCUAUAACUUUAUAAUGUUAUUGAGUUUCACAACUUUUUAGUAGUAAUUAAAUUGGUUUUAAGUUUCAAAUUACUUUUGAAAAAUAAUAAAUUUAAUGUAUCAAGUAUAGUUCAAUUUGGAAUUUAUUUGCUUAACCAAAAAUUUUAGAAAAGUUCAAAGAAAUUCAAAAAAAACAAGUGUAAUUUAAAGAAAAAUCAUAUUUGAAUAUUUUCAAUAUUAGUAUUAGAUCGUAGUCAAAGAAAAAAAAAAGACAUCCUAUUCAAUUUUAUUUGUUUUUUAUAGGUUUUUUUUUUAAUUUAUCUAUAUUUUCCUUUUAUGUUCUAAAAUUGAUGAAAAUAAUUUAUACUUGUUCUUUAAAAACUAUUAUCUAUUUCACUUUAUUUUUAAAAACUAAAAACAAUGAACAAUGACCAAAUAAUAUUAUCAAUUUUUAAGAACAAAUUUUUAUUUUUGCAAAUAGAAAAUCAUUUUUAAUUAUAUGGCCAAACAAACUCUAAUAAUAUUGUUUUUAGACCUACAUUCAAUAUUGAUGGAUCUCCCCAUCUAUGAAUCCCUUCCUUGUCUAGGACAUAGAUGGACAAAUUAUUAUCAGACUUUAAACUUGAAAACCCGCUAUUCAUAAAGUCAAUUAUUAACCUUUAAAGCAAUAAAGGCGCAUAUGAAAAGUUGUAGCUUGGUCAUGAUAAAUAGCCACCAAAUAUAAAAAAUCAGGUAUGAAAAAAGACUCUCUAAAGAUAUUAUCGUCUGUCUCUUCCAAACCUCAACUUAAACUUUGGAGGGGCGUGCUUGAACAAAACAUCUAAACAGACCUUGUUACAGAUACACCACCAUUGUCCAUUCAAAGGCAAUUUGAAGGAAGUUAGCUGAAAAGGACAUUGCUAGUUGUAUACCAACAAUUUUCAUUCUCUUUGAAAAACAUUUAGUGAUUCUCUUUAAACAUUCUUUGAAAGAAAUACUUGAAAUCAAAUAUAUUAGUGUCAUCAUAUGAGUUGAUGUGGUAGAGCUUGGCUCUAUUUUUGAAAAGCUUUCAAAAACAAUUCUUAAAAUAUCUUUAAGUCAUUUUGAAAAACAAAAGAAAAAAAAAUUAUUUAAAAACUCAAAUAUGAGAAAUAGUUUUAUAGAGUGUUCUCUAUAAAAAUAGUAUGCACCACUUACUAUAAUACAAAAAUUUUCAAAUUAGUCACCAUAAUUUUUAUUCUUGCUCAUAACAAACUACAAAAAACAAUUGAAAACACCUAAAAAUUGUCCUAAAAGACAACUUAUUUUUAAAACAAAUUCUCAAAAACCUGUUAUCUAUUUAAAGCUUGCCAAACAUGUUUUUUUGAGUUAAAAACUAUUCUCAACAACAGUUUCAGACACGACCUAAGUUUUAAUAAAAUUAUUAUUAAAAAGGUUUAAGAAAUCAUCUCAAUAACAACAACAUAGUUUUACACAGGAACUUCAAUGGAGCAUGAGAUCCAACCAGCAGUUGUUGAUCAUGGCUGCUUAUUAAUUUGUGUUGUCUUGAUGCCAAUUCAAGUCUUAUUGCUUCUUGGCAUGCCUCUGGUAGAAGGCUUUGAUCCUCCCAAGUCCAUCUUCCAGAGAGGGAGGCUCAAUGGCAAAAGUUAUUCUAAGCCAAUUCUUCAUUCCCACAGCAAAACCUGCAACAAACACCAAACAAAAAUGCCUUAAAGCCAGGUGAGAAGCCCACAAAAGAGCAACAAGGCGUCAAUUGUUGGAUCGUGAAGCCUAAAUCAAUCUUAUUGUGCUUCACUGGGAUGCCCAAGUUGAGCUCCCAGUUGAGUUCACGAGAUCGAGCUGCCCGAUCAAUUUGUAGGAGUAUAAGGGGCAACACCCUUUCAAAAAAAAAAAAUUCUUGAAUGUUGGUGCAAUCUGUGGACGUAGGGAUCACAUUGAUUAUUGAAUUACGUUAAAAGUCUGGUUUUUUAUUUAUUUUUGCUCGAGUGUGUGGUUUGGUUAACACUACUAGCAUGGAAACUUCAAAGGCUUAAGUUUUUCGCUCCUUACCUGGAAAAACAAUUACUGAUUCCUCUUUAGACAGCUUCAUACAGAAAUCAAUAUCAUCCUCAAUGUCUUCCAGCAGAGACAGGUUUAGCUUCACCUGCAAUGGAAUUUUGAAAUCAAGAAAAUCAUAGACUCGAUAUUUUGAAGCAACAUAGUAUUUCGUAUUUUUUGUCCUUACCAUCACAAACAUGGAUCCUUCUGGCUUUGUGUGGGCAGGUCAGGCAAGGGAUAUCUUCAAUUCCAUCAAAACAUGUGCCCGCAGUUUCUCUGAGUAUGCUAAUGAUCUUCAAGUAAAAAUCAUCUGUUGUUUUCUCAAUGAUUUGAGGAACAGCCCCCUGAUAAACAAACCCCAUUAUCCUAAUAUAUUGGAUUGGCAACAUGAAUCUGUAUUGCUGUUAUCAACUUGAAAAAAAUCACAAACCUGAAUGAAGGUUGCAGGGUCAGAGGAAAUAUUGAGAGAACUCACAAUGGAUUCAACAACCUGAGAAGAAAGACAACAAAUGUAUAAGUUUCAGUUUAUGAGAACUGCAAGAACGUCAAACCAAGAUGUAAUAUAACCACUAAAUGUGAAAUUCUGAGUAGAAGAGAGAAAGAGCAGGGAGAACCCCGGAUUUGUGGAGGAUGCCAUUAGGAUCAUUGGUCACAAGCCAACCAAGUCUCCAACCAGGAACAAUCCAUCUCUUUGAUAUGGAUCCAAGUGUGAUAACAGGAGUAAUCGACCCAAAUGCUCCCAUUGACACAUAAGGGUUACCCCCAAAAGCAAGGUGGGCAUACACUUCAUCAGAAAUCACAAGAAUCCCAAGCAUUCUUGCAGUUUCAGCAACCUGAAA